Molecule: ribosomal RNA, 423 nt
Filed under: uncultured bacterium
Lineage: Bacteria
Description: bacterial SSU rRNA
Rfam family: Bacterial small subunit ribosomal RNA
Source: RNAcentral
GGAAUAUUGGACAAUGGGCGCAAGCCUGAUCCAGCCAUGCCGCGUGUGUGAAGAAGGCCUUCGGGUUGUAAAGCACUUUCAGCGAGGAGGAAGGGAGUUGUGUUAAUAGCACAGGUUCUACACGUUACUCGCAGAAGAAGCACCGGCUAACUCCGCUCCAGCAGCCGCGGUAAUACGGAGGGUGCAAGCGUUAAUCGGAAUUACUUGGCGUAAAGCGCACGUAGGCGGUUUGUUAAGUUGGAUGUGAAAGCCCCGGGCUCAACCUGGGAAUUGCAUUCAAAACUGGCAAACUAGAGUAUGUGAGAGGGGGGUAGAAUUCCAAGUGUAGCGGUGAAAUGCGUAGAGAUUUGGAGGAAUACCAGUGGCGAAGGCGGCCCCCUGGCACAAUACUGACGCUCAGGUGCGAAAGCGUGGGGAGCAAAC